Helianthus annuus (common sunflower) is the source of this 1001-nucleotide long non-coding RNA. RefSeq lists it as uncharacterized. The transcript is spliced from 5 exons. The record is from RefSeq and is a predicted model, not a curated record. Lineage: Eukaryota; Viridiplantae; Streptophyta; Magnoliopsida; Asterales; Asteraceae.
UUUUACAUCUUCAACUCACUUCCAUCAUCUUCAUCCCCAUUGCAGUGCACCUCCGUCGAUCCCCAACCUCAUCUCCGUCCCACCUCCGUCGACCUCCAGUCCACCGCAAUCAUCGUUUCACCGGAGACCCCAAUUGUAGCCAUCACCACCGUUCGCAGCCACCACGACCGCUCGCAACUACCACGGCCGCUCGCAACAACCACCAUCGUCUGACAGGUCCGAUUAGUGGAGCAAUAUCGUAUCUGGUUCAACAUCAUUAGUUAUGUGAGAUUUUAUAUGAAUUUGAGAGCACGUUUGCACUGUUUUGAGACGCGGAGGCAAGGAGCAGGAUCUUGAAGGUUUGUCGAAGAGGUUGUGGAGAAUGGUAUCGAGGAUGAAAGUGGGAGUCGGGGUUAUGGUAGGUCGAUUGAUGGAAAUAGCGAAGUUUUUGAGGAGAACAAGAAUAAUGUUGUUAAUCAAGAAUGAUAAUGAGGGUGUAACCACAUCUGCUACUCUGCUCUCUCUUUUGCAAUGGUCUUUGAUACAAUAACUUCAUAUUAUAACAUACUGUGUUGUGGCUGCUGAAUCUGCUGGUAGACAAGUUCCAAUGGCUUUUCUUGAGCGAAUAAAGGAUGGACUUUAACAAAAAAUACAGUGGUGGGAAAGCUGAUACAACUGUUGCCAAUAGUCUGAACAAAGAAUUCGGACCCAAGCUGAAGGAGCAGAUGGAGCAUUGUGUGGACCAUCUUGAAGAAAUCAGCAAGCUUUCGAAGUGGCAAAAGAUGAGUGUGGUCGAAGAAAGGGUACGCGUGGUGGGAGAAAAGGUACGCGUGGCCGAUGAAAAGGUUCGGGUCAAAGAAUGAGACGUAUUGACGAUUGAUGUUGAUAGUUAUCCUGAACCAAAACGUUCUACUUUAAAGAAAAUGCAAGAGGACAUUAUGAGUUUUUUUAGUUUUAAAUUUUUAAAUUUGGGAUUUAUUUUUUGUGGGUUUUGGAUUUAAUGCAACUUUAUGUUGUCUGUU